Molecule: microRNA, 22 nt
Filed under: Bos taurus (domestic cattle)
Lineage: Eukaryota; Metazoa; Chordata; Mammalia; Artiodactyla; Bovidae
Description: bta-miR-2285bj
Source: miRBase by way of RNAcentral
CAACCCUGAAUGAACUUUUUGG